UUUAGUAAUUGCGAAUGAACAAGGAUAUGCUUAGCUUGACAAAUGGAGCUAUUGGCUUUGAAUUGUAUUGUGGAAAUGUAUUACCAACAGAGGUGCAGGUGCCAGCCUAUUGAAAUAAAGCGUCAAUGAGGGUGAGAAUCCUGUUUGUCAUGUGCAGCCCUUUGUGCACGGUGUAUAUUUGCUGAGUCACACUCCUUGGCAUUGGAAUGCAAAGUGGGUGGUAAGUUUCAUGUAAAGGUAAACAUGCAAUUGAGACUGAUAGCACACAAGUACCAUGAGGGAAAUAUGAAAAGGACUUUGAAAAGAGAAUUAAAUGAGUUUGUAUUUGCUGAACACAAAGUAAACAGACUUGAUUUGCUUGGUGGGAGUGUUGCACUUGCUUGACAAGAGCUUUGGGCUGUGGGUGUAAUGAUUCUUUCUUUGCAUGCCAGUUUCUAUUUGUACAUCUGAUUACCUUUGCACAUGAAUGAUAAGUCUCCUGUGGGGGGUGGAUUGCAUGUGCAUGUAAUGAUUUGUGUUUUGAUAAAUGUGUCUGGUGUAUGUGUGUGUUCCUGUGCUUGGGGAUGCUUCCUUCCUUGGACUUACAAGCCCUGACACACACAUGCUGGCAAAAUGCUUCUGCUUGACCCGUCUUGAAACACGGACCAAGGAGUCUAACAGAUGUGCAAAGUUUGAAGGUGGUAUACCUUUGUGUGCAAUGAAAGUGUCAGCUGGGAUAUGUGCACCAGCACCCAAUUAAUUAGCGGACAGAGGUUUGAGUUGGAGCAUAUCUAUUAGGACCCGAAAGAUGGUGAACUAUGCCUGAACAGAAUGAAUUCAGAGGAAACUCUGAUGGAGGUUCGUAUCGAUACUGACGUGCAAAUCGUUCGUCAUAUUUGGGUAUAGGGGCGAAAGACUAAUCGAACCAUCUAGUAGCUGGUUCCCUCCGAAGUUUCCCUCAGGAUAGCUGGAGUUGCUCAGUUUUAUCAGGUAAAGCGAAUGAUUAGAGGAAUUGGGGACAGGUUUGUCUUUGACCUAUUCUCAAACUUUAAAUGGGUAAUAUGUAGUGGUUGCUGUAUGGAACUUCUAAGAUAAAUGG
Molecule: ribosomal RNA, 1078 nt
Filed under: Alexandrium catenella
Lineage: Eukaryota; Dinophyceae; Gonyaulacales; Pyrocystaceae
Description: partial large subunit ribosomal RNA
Rfam family: Eukaryotic large subunit ribosomal RNA
Source: RNAcentral